This 1447-nucleotide unclassified non-coding RNA is filed under the name Hevea brasiliensis (rubber tree). The record is from RNAcentral. Lineage: Eukaryota; Viridiplantae; Streptophyta; Magnoliopsida; Malpighiales; Euphorbiaceae.
ACAAGUCAGCCAACUGAAAAUUGUACGUGUUACUAAUAAGCUCCUGCUAUUUUAUUUUGAGUGGAUAAUUUGAUGCUGUUGGCAACAUGGGUUUAAUUAUUACUAUAUUUUUAUUAUUAAUUCUUAAAGGAUUAUUAUACUUGGGUUUGGUUUGGAGUAGCUCAAUAAAAGAUUUAAUGGGUUUUCCAUUUUGAUGCCCCUGGUGAAAAAGAAAGGAGGAACGAAAAGAAAUGCCUCUGGAAUUUUAUGCAGAGUGCAGUAUCCUGUAGACCUACUAGUAGUUUUUUGUUGAGAUUCAGAAUGUUUAAGUUGUUUGUACUUUUUUUGAGCUUGCAACGUUAUAUGCAAAUUUUUCACUUUUUAUUUUCGUCAUCAUUACUUUAUUGAUCCCCAUUUUCACUGUUCUCGUUUUUUUCACUGUUCUCGUUUUUUUCACUAUUCUGCAAUCUUGGUAGAAUGAUAAUGUCAUUAUUUUAUCAUUGAUAUGCUGGAUAAGCAUGUAGGUGUAUGUGGACUUUUUUUUCUUGGUCGCUUAUGGGUGUUCUUAUAUUGGAUUUAAGACAAUUGUUAAACAAGAAAGGUCAACCAUUAAAUAGAUUCGUAUUGGUAAAAUUAGUCAAUAUCAUGAAGUAAUGUCUUCUUGAAAAGUGAGAGUUUCAAAACCAUGUUUAAAUUGUAAAUUUUUAAUGGUUGUAUAUUUUCCUUGCUAAGUUUUGAAUUUACAGAUGCAUUAACCCAAAUUUGAUAUAGGAGCUUCUCCAUCUCAUGCUAUCACCUGUUAUUCUGUGGUAUUGAACCCCCUUUGUCAUUGAUAUCUGGCUUAAUCCUUAGUCAAGAUGUUAAAAUUGUUUCCCGACAAUCUCUGCAGCAUCACUUUCUUGGUUUUGCAGUCUUUCCAAAAAUUUCCCUGUUAGCAGACUUGAUGUUAUCUGUGUCUUAUAUCUCUUCUAUUUUCUUUUUCUACGAAAACUUUUUCAUUUCAUUGCCAGAUUCAACUGUAUCACUGAAACUCUUGACCUUUUAGUGCGUACAAACUUAAUUUCUCUUUAUUCCAAAUUCUCUCUCAAACCAUGCUAAAGUAAGUUCUAUCGUUGUCUCUCUCAUUAUAUUAGUAGUAGACUUCUGAUGUUAGUUUUUUGUUCUUUGCUUGUAUAAAUUAUUUAUCAUAUAUAUUUCAACUAGUUUGUUUGUCCAGUUUAGUUGUUUUCUUUUCAUGGAAUUCUUUUGUAUGACUUCCCAAAUGGUACAUAUCUCCAUCACUCUAUAGUCAAACAUUUGCUCUUGGUUGUUUUAAAAACAAGUUUACAUUUAUUGUUUUCCAAGAAUACCAACUCCUCUAUAAGCGUUUGCAGUAUUUUACUCUCCUUCUUAAUUAAAUCUGACGUAGCAUGAAGUUCAAAUAGAAACACACUCUAUACACAAAAGUGAAAAAAUAGAGAAAAUUCUC